CCCUUUCCUUUGCACCUAUGGCCAAGCUAUUGAAAACCCAACGCCACCACUCCAAACACUACACGCCGGCGAUACUUUACUCGUAAAAUCCCACCAAAACUAACCUAAAAUCUUAUGUUUCUCCUCUAGACUCCAAAAUCAAGACCUAGAAAAGCUAAAACGCUCCCUAAAUAGUGUCUCGACAAUCCCCUUUUAAAACACCCGACCGUCUGACUCCUUCCACUCCUACAACGGUUUCCGAAGACAACAAAUCCAUAACCAAAGCUCAUUUGUUUUGUUUUUUCCGAUGCAUGGUGCUGUUGCAUGGAAUCUAUGGAGACCGUUUUUCGGGAGCUGUUGGAAUGGUUGUGGAGAUGAAACAAUCUCGGGACCACUGGUGCUGACGUGAAGUGUAGAGAGCUUAUGGAGAAGAUUCUGGAAGCUGCUGGUUUUGUUUGGACCACUGCCUGGUGAUAUGGAUGAUGAAUGCGACGGUAGAUUUAGAAACCCUAAACCACAAACAUUGGGAUUGCUCUGUAACUUGGUAGAUGAGCUUUGAAUUUGGGUAGUUGGUAUGGUUAAUGGGUCUGAAAGGUUAAUGUAGCGGGUAUGGGUUUUGGAUUAAUUUGUAAUGGGGUUUAAGUUUAUAAAUGAUAGACCGAAAUGUGAAUUUGGACA
This is a long non-coding RNA of Hibiscus syriacus, 657 nucleotides long. RefSeq lists it as uncharacterized. Lineage: Eukaryota; Viridiplantae; Streptophyta; Magnoliopsida; Malvales; Malvaceae. The transcript is spliced from 2 exons. The record is from RefSeq and is a predicted model, not a curated record.